GCGCCCGUGGCUCAAUUGGAUAGAGCGCUUGACUACGGAUCAAGAGGUUGGGGGUUCGAGUCCUCCCGGGCGCGCCA
Molecule: transfer RNA, 77 nt
Filed under: Hyphomicrobiales bacterium
Lineage: Bacteria; Pseudomonadati; Pseudomonadota; Alphaproteobacteria; Hyphomicrobiales
Description: tRNA-Arg
Rfam family: tRNA
About the family: Transfer RNA (tRNA) molecules are approximately 80 nucleotides in length. Their secondary structure includes four short double-helical elements and three loops (D, anti-codon, and T loops).
Source: RNAcentral